Molecule: ribosomal RNA, 496 nt
Filed under: uncultured bacterium
Lineage: Bacteria
Description: partial 16S ribosomal RNA
Rfam family: Bacterial small subunit ribosomal RNA
Source: RNAcentral
ACGAACGCUGGCGGCGUGCCUAAUACAUGCAAGUAGAACGCUGAAGAGAGGAGCUUACUCUUCUUGGAUGAGUUGCGAACGGGUGAGUAACGCGUAGGUAACCUGCCUUGUAGCGGGGGAUAACUAUUGGAAACGAUAGCUAAUACCGCAUAACAAUGGAUGACACAUGUCAUUUAUUUGAAAGGGGCAAUUGCUCCACUACAAGAUGGACCUGCGUUGUAUUAGCUAGUAGGUGAGGUAAUGGCUCACCCAGGCGACGAUACAUAGCCGACCUGAGAGGGUGAUCGGCCACACUGGGACUGAGACACGGCCCAGACUCCUACGGGAGGCAGCAGUAGGGAAUCUUCGGCAAUGGGGGCAACCCUGACCGAGCAACGCCGCGUGAGUGAAGAAGGUUUUCGGAUCGUAAAGCUCUGUUGUAAGUCAAGAACGGGCGUGAGAGUGGAAAGUUCACACUGUGACGGUAGCUUACCAGAAAGGGACGGCUAACUACGUG